UCAUAUUUAUGAGUAGAAAUGGGGAUAGUGGGGAACGUGGCCCAUGUUCCCCACUACACAUAAUGGAAAUGUCCAUUAUGCCCCUAGGGUAUUUCCCUAUAUAAAGGGGGUCCGUCCAAGGCUCAGGGAGUGUGAAAUCGCGAGCGUGUGACGAGAGUAAAAGGAGUACAUCCAAGGCGACGGGAUUUGGUUUGUGGAAUUGCGGAGGGCUUUCCGAUCCUGUGAUCGCUCUUCCGAUAGCGAGCUUCGUCAUUGUCGAUUGCAGAUCUGCGGGAGAUCGCUGUAAGUUUUUACCGCAUUUAAUUA
Long non-coding RNA from Zingiber officinale, 306 nucleotides. RefSeq lists it as uncharacterized. The record is from RefSeq and is a predicted model, not a curated record. The transcript is spliced from 3 exons. NCBI's taxonomy places the organism in Eukaryota, Viridiplantae, Streptophyta, Magnoliopsida, Zingiberales, Zingiberaceae.